RNAcentral lists this ribosomal RNA (440 nucleotides) under uncultured bacterium. Its description in RNAcentral is "partial 16S ribosomal RNA". It matches the Rfam family "Bacterial small subunit ribosomal RNA", at positions 338 to 795 of the family's 1533-position model. The record is from RNAcentral.
CCUACGGGAGGCAGCAGUGGGGAAUAUUGCACAAUGGGGGAAACCCUGAUGCAGCGACGCCGCGUGAGUGAAGAAGUAUUUCGGUAUGUAAAGCUCUGUCAGCAGGGAAGAAAAUGACGGUACCUGACCAAGAAGCCCCGGCUAACUACGUGCCAGCAGCCGCGGUAAUACGUAGGGGGCCAGCGUUAUCCGGAUUUACUGGGUGUAAAGGGAGCGUAGACGGGAGGGCAAGUCUGGAGUGAAAGGGGGGGGCUCAACCCCCGGACUGCUGUGGAAACUGCCAGGCUGGAGUGCAGGAGAGGUAAGUGGAAUGCCUGGUGUAGCGGUGAAAUGCGUAGAUAUUAGGAGGAACACCAGUGGCGAAGGCGGCUUACUGGACUGUAACUGACGUUGAGGCUCGAAAGCGUGGGGAGCAAACAGGAUUAGAUACCCUUGUAGUC